This 320-nucleotide ribosomal RNA is filed under the name uncultured eukaryote. RNAcentral's name for it is "partial 18S ribosomal RNA". It matches the Rfam family "Eukaryotic small subunit ribosomal RNA", at positions 1470 to 1796 of the family's 1831-position model. The record is from RNAcentral.
CCCCUAGAUGUUCUGGGCCGCACGCGCGCUACACUGAACAGUUCAACAAGUGUUAACCUUGGCCGAUAGGUCUGGGUAAUCUUUGAACGCUGUUCGUGAUUGGGAUAGACCUUUGCAAUUAUGGGUCUUCAACGAGGAAUUCCUAGUAAACGCAAGUCAUCAGCUUGCAUUGAUUACGUCCCUGCCCUUUGUACACACCGCCCGUCGCACCUACCGAUUGAAUGGUCCGGUGAAAUCUCGGGACGGCGGCUUGGUCGCUUGCGUCCGACUGCUGAAACUUGAUUAAACCAUAUCAUUUAGAGGAAGGUGAANUCGUAACA